AGAGAAAGAUCAUGCCAGGGCUCCCGAGUGCUAAUGAAUUAAUGGAGAAGCCAAGUUAAUGAGUGCCGAGGAGGAGCUGUUGUCAGAGGUUUCGAGGUAAUAGUGAAGAGUUAUGGAGCCAGGAGGCAGAGCCUGGAGUGUUCAAAGUGGCCCCCAUGGCUCUAGAAAGGGAAGGUAGAAAAAUUAGGGAGAUAGGUCUCCAGGCUAGGUAAAGAGUCAGGAAGACAAGGAGAAUGCUGAGAACGAUGGGAGUCCUGCAGCCCUGGAGAGAUGUUGAAGGUGGAAGACGGAGAGCCCAUGGGGAGCUUGCACACUAUUAUUUGUAUAGGAAUAGGGAGAAAGAAAUGCAAGUGCAGGAGCAGAGUCUUUCAAGACUGCUCUCACCAGAUUGCCAUUGCUUUCCUUGGUGUGUCUCUUGCUUCCACUUAUCAACAACCCCUCAUGUGGACAUUAGUUAUGAUGCAGAAUUGUUUUCUUACCUUGGUGCCU
This 489-nucleotide long non-coding RNA is filed under the name Homo sapiens (human). Its description in RNAcentral is "HSALNT0215628". Lineage: Eukaryota; Metazoa; Chordata; Mammalia; Primates; Hominidae. The record is from RNAcentral.